RNAcentral lists this ribosomal RNA (253 nucleotides) under uncultured bacterium. RNAcentral's name for it is "partial 16S ribosomal RNA". It matches the Rfam family "Bacterial small subunit ribosomal RNA", at positions 524 to 776 of the family's 1533-position model. The record is from RNAcentral.
UACAGAGGUCUCAAGCGUUGUUCGGAUUCAUUGGGCGUAAAGGGUGCGUAGGUGGCGCCGUAAGUCGGGUGUGAAAUUUCGGAGCUUAACUCCGAAACUGCAUUCGAUACUGCGGUGCUUGAGGACUGGAGAGGAGACUGGAAUUCAUGGUGUAGCAGUGAAAUGCGUAGAGAUCAUGAGGAAGACCAGCGGCGAAGGCGGGUCUCUGGACAGUUCCUGACACUGAGGCACGAAGGCCAGGGGAGCAAACGGG